UUUGCAAUGAGAGAAGUUCACAGAGCCAUUGCAUGAUUAUCCUGGAUGUCCCAUCUGUGGGAGGAAGAUUAAUGCUUGUGGACAUGGCUGGAUCUGAAAACAUAGAAGCUGCAGGACAAACAGGAUUUGAAGCCAAAAUGCAG
Molecule: long non-coding RNA, 143 nt
Organism: Zea mays
Lineage: Eukaryota; Viridiplantae; Streptophyta; Magnoliopsida; Poales; Poaceae
Exons: 2
Source: RefSeq, a predicted model, not a curated record